CAAUUUUGCUUGCCUGCUUUGGGACUAUACCUCAUCAAAUACUUCCAGGCUCGAAGCAGAAGAUUAUAUCGCAAGUGUUCCACACUCAUUUGAAGCAAGACAAGGAAGAAUGAAGCACAUAUUAGCGACCAUCUGUGUCAUGAGCCUCGUCGCAUUUGCUGCCAAUGCAGAAAGACAGCCAGAAGAUGAUUCCCUCCUUGACGAAACGUUCAAAGAUGUGGAACGAGAUGCUGCUCACAUUGGUGAAAUUCAUCGAGAGGUGGUACAGACCCUAACCGAGAGUGAGAAACUGGAGGCUCGGGUGAGAAGAAAUACCAGAGUAAAAUAAAAAAAGGCACGCCACGAGCGCAGUAGGCCUUGCACAAGAAAAGCAUUAUGUUCAACGAUGCGAAACUUGUAAUAAGCAGCUCACCUCUCAAUGGGUUUGCUACUAUUGGUGUUGCUGAGUAAAGCUUUUCAAUAAAUAGUGUAAACUUACGUAGAAGGC
Molecule: unclassified non-coding RNA, 487 nt
Filed under: Rhipicephalus microplus (southern cattle tick)
Lineage: Eukaryota; Metazoa; Arthropoda; Arachnida; Ixodida; Ixodidae
Description: uncharacterized LOC119178143, transcript variant X3
Source: RNAcentral